UAGGAAUCUUCCACAAUGGGGGCGCAAGCCUGAUGGAGCAACACCGCGUGAGUGAAGAAGGGUUUCGGCUCGUAAAGCUCUGUUGUUAGAGAAGAACGUGCGUGAGAGCAACUGUUCACGCAGUGACGGUAUCUAACCAGAAAGUCACGGCUAACUACGUGCCAGCAGCCGCGGUAAUACGUAGGUGGCAAGCGUUAUCCGGAUUUAUUGGGCGUAAAGCGAGCGCAGGCGGUUUGAUAAGUCUGAUGUGAAAGCCUUUGGCUUAACCAAAGAAGUGCAUCGGAAACUGUCAGACUUGAGUGCAGAAGAGGGCAGUGGAACUCCAUGUGUAGCGGUGGAAUGCGUAGAGAUGUGGAAGAAUACCAGAGGCGAAGGCGGCCUCCUGGACAGAUACUGACACUGAGGUGCGAAAGCGUG
RNAcentral lists this ribosomal RNA (417 nucleotides) under uncultured Lactobacillus sp. Its description in RNAcentral is "bacterial SSU rRNA". It matches the Rfam family "Bacterial small subunit ribosomal RNA", at positions 356 to 763 of the family's 1533-position model. The record is from RNAcentral. Lineage: Bacteria; Bacillati; Bacillota; Bacilli; Lactobacillales; Lactobacillaceae.